This 497-nucleotide ribosomal RNA is filed under the name uncultured bacterium. RNAcentral describes it as "partial 16S ribosomal RNA". It matches the Rfam family "Bacterial small subunit ribosomal RNA", at positions 28 to 507 of the family's 1533-position model. The record is from RNAcentral.
GACGAACGCUGGCGGCGUGCCUAAUACAUGCAAGUCGAACGCUGAAGCGAGGAGCUUGCUCUUCGCGGGUGAGGCGAACACGGGUGAGUCACGCGUGGAUAACCUGCCUUAUAGCGGGGGAUAACUAUUAGACACGAUCGCUAAUAGCGCAUGACAUUGUGUUACACAUGGGAGUUAUGUGAGAGGCGCAGUUGCUCCACUACAAGAUGGCCUUUCGUUGUAUUAGCUGGGAGGUGAGGUACUGGCGCACCUAGGCGACGAUACGUAGCCGACCUGAUAGGGUGGUCGGCCGCACUGGGACUGUGACACGCCCCAUACGGCUACGGGAGGCAGCAGUAGGGCUUCGUGGGCCAUCGGGGCAAACCUGACCGCGCAAGGCCGCGUCAGGGAGGAAGGUUGUCGCAUCGUGAAGGUCUGUUGUCGGUUAGGAACGGGUGUGAGAGUGGAAAGUUCACACUGUGACGGUAGCUUAUCAGAAAGGGACGGCUAACUACGUG